UACGGGGGGAGCAAACGUUGUUCGGAAUCACUGGGCGUAAAGGGCGUGUAGGCGGCUGAAUAAGUGGGAUGUUAAAUCCCCCGGCUCAACCGGGGACCUGCAUCUCAUACUGUUCAGCUCGAGCACAUCAGAGGAGACUGGAAUUCCACGUGUAGCAGUGAAAUGCGUAGAGAUGUGGAGGAACACCGAUGGCGAAGGCAGCCCCCUGGGCUAACACUGACGCUCAGGCACGAAAGCGUGGGGAGCAAACAGG
RNAcentral lists this ribosomal RNA (253 nucleotides) under uncultured bacterium. Its description in RNAcentral is "partial 16S ribosomal RNA". It matches the Rfam family "Bacterial small subunit ribosomal RNA", at positions 524 to 776 of the family's 1533-position model. The record is from RNAcentral.